GUGCUCACUUCAGCAGCACAUACACUAAAUUGGAACAAUACAGAAAAGGUUAAUUUGGCUCCCGUACAAGUAUGAGAUGCAAAUUUGUGAAAUGUUCCGUAUUUUA
Molecule: small nuclear RNA, 106 nt
Organism: Camelus dromedarius (Arabian camel)
Lineage: Eukaryota; Metazoa; Chordata; Mammalia; Artiodactyla; Camelidae
Source: Ensembl